Molecule: ribosomal RNA, 443 nt
Filed under: uncultured bacterium
Lineage: Bacteria
Description: partial 16S ribosomal RNA
Rfam family: Bacterial small subunit ribosomal RNA
Source: RNAcentral
CCUACGGGAGGCUGCAGUGGGGAAUAUUGGGCAAUGGGCGCAAGCCUGAUCCAGCAACGCCGCGUGAACGAAGAAGGCUUUCGGGUUGUAAACCUCUUUUCUCGGGGACGAAGGAAGUGACGGUACCUGAGGAAUAAGCCACGGCUAACUACGUGCCAGCAGCCGCGGUAAUACGUAGGUGGCAAGAGUUAUCCGGAAUUAUUGGGUGUAAAGGACGCGUAGGUGGGUGCGGAAGUCAGAUGUGAAAACGCAGGGCUCAACCCUUAGCAUGCAUUUGAAACUGUGAUUGUUGAGUGCUGGAGAGGAAAGCGGAAUUCCGUGUGUAGCGGUGAAAUGCGUAGAUAUACGGAGGAACACCAGUGGCGAAGGCGGAUUGCUGGACAGUAACUGACGCUGAGGCGCGAAAGCGUGGGGAGCAAACAGGAUUAGAUACCCCUGUAGUC